AGGGUGUGUGUUCAUGUUUGUGUUCAAUAUAAGCUCCCUCACAGGCAACCAAACCGCCAGAGAGUCGCAGCCUUGGCAUCAAACCGUACACAUUCACAGAGAGAGACAGAGAGAGAGAUGAGAUUGCUAGGUUACUUAGGGCAAUGGAGGAACGUAGCGAAAGAGGCAGUGGAUCGAUCCAUGAUCGUGGCAAAGUUCCUCUGCUUGCUUCACGUCACCAACAACUACCUCUGUUCCCCAACCCUCGUUUACGGUCCUAGUAUGCUCCCGACCCUGAAUCUGACCGGCGACGUGGUUUUAGCCGAAUAUUUGUCGACCCGGUUCGGCAAGGUGGGACUCGGAGAUGUCAUCCUUGUUCGGUCCCCUGAAAACCCUACGAGGAUUGUCACCAAGCGCAUUGUGGGCAUGGAAGGCGAUACAGUUACUUUCUUGGUGGACCCCAUGAACAGUGAUCGUUCUCACAUCCUGGUGGUGCCAAAGGGGCAUGUUUGGAUUCAGGGUGAUAAUAUUUAUGCAUCGAAGGAUUCACGGCAUUUUGGUCCUGUUCCUUACGGCCUUAUUCAAGGCAAAGUAUGUUGCCGGGUAUGGCCCCCUGAUGGCUUCGGGUUGUUGGCAUAACAAGUGUAACAUCUGUUUUAUCUAUCUAAAGAAAAUCUCUUUGGCUUGAACUCUGCUGCAUCUUCACCCCAUAUCUCAUGAUCAUGAUGAAGCACAACAAUUGGCACAAAAAGUUCUAGGAUCAAGUGCAUUGUUACAUGGAUGACAAUGUGGAUCGACUAUGAUACUCUUGCCCCUCAGUCUAUUUGUCAUAGGUCACCUAGUUCAUCUAGUAGAGAUGGCGGAUCACAGGCCAAUUUGCAUAUUGACAAAUUGGCAAGGAAAACUGGUCAAACUCAGGCAAAUCUGCAGACUUCUUUAGAAAUUCAGCUGCAACCAACUGUGAGCUGCCUCAUGUGUGAAACUCAUGGUACGAAGUCGCACCAUGACACUCCUACUCGUGCUCAUGAAUGAGCCUCCCAGGAGGCACUCACGCUCUCAAGAUAUUUUUGGAAAAGUUGCUCUCGCCUCUGCCCCUGCUCCUGCUUCUGUAGUUGCUCUGUGAUUUGGUGAUUCAGUGCCUUCCCAUUUAGCGUGUACUUUCUAGUUUUUGAAGGCAACCAAAAGACUUCGUCUUGGGAUGCUGGUAGAGGUUGUAGUGAAGAUGAGGUAAGAGUUUUAGUUGUAAUCUCUCUCAUCUCUCUCAUGUUCUUUGUCCUGGCCAGUGUUAGCAUAAUGCUUAGAAAGGGAAGAUACAUAGUAUUAUAGGUUUAAUUCUGGUACAUAAAAAAGAGGUAGUAGUAAGAAAAAUGACUUAACUAUUGGGAAUCAAUGGGUAGCUUUAAAAAAAAAAAAAAAAAAAAAAA
Molecule: non-coding RNA, 1403 nt
Organism: Camellia sinensis
Lineage: Eukaryota; Viridiplantae; Streptophyta; Magnoliopsida; Ericales; Theaceae
Source: RefSeq, a predicted model, not a curated record